RNAcentral lists this ribosomal RNA (975 nucleotides) under Pseudomonas aeruginosa. Its description in RNAcentral is "partial 16S ribosomal RNA". The stretch from base 1 to 836 matches the Rfam family "Bacterial small subunit ribosomal RNA". The record is from RNAcentral. Lineage: Bacteria; Pseudomonadati; Pseudomonadota; Gammaproteobacteria; Pseudomonadales; Pseudomonadaceae.
UGACGCUGGCGGCAGGCCUACACAUGCAAGUCGAGCGGAUGAAGGGAGCUUGCUCCUGGAUUCAGCGGCGGACGGGUGAGUAAUGCCUAGGAAUCUGCCUGGUAGUGGGGGAUAACGUCCGGAAACGGGCGCUAAUACCGCAUACGUCCUGAGGGAGAAAGUGGGGGAUCUUCGGACCUCACGCUAUCAGAUGAGCCUAGGUCGGAUUAGCUAGUUGGUGGGGUAAAGGCCUACCAAGGCGACGAUCCGUAACUGGUCUGAGAGGAUGAUCAGUCACACUGGAACUGAGACACGGUCCAGACUCCUACGGGAGGCAGCAGUGGGGAAUAUUGGACAAUGGGCGAAAGCCUGAUCCAGCCAUGCCGCGUGUGUGAAGAAGGUCUUCGGAUUGUAAAGCACUUUAAGUUGGGAGGAAGGGCAGUAAGUUAAUACCUUGCUGUUUUGACGUUACCAACAGAAUAAGCACCGGCUAACUUCGUGCCAGCAGCCGCGGUAAUACGAAGGGUGCAAGCGUUAAUCGGAAUUACUGGGCGUAAAGCGCGCGUAGGUGGUUCAGCAAGUUGGAUGUGAAAUCCCCGGGCUCAACCUGGGAACUGCAUCCAAAACUACUGAGCUAGAGUACGGUAGAGGGUGGUGGAAUUUCCUGUGUAGCGGUGAAAUGCGUANAUAUAGGAAGGAACACCAGUGGCGAAGGCGACCACCUGGACUGAUACUGACACUGAGGUGCGAAAGCGUGGGGAGCAACAGGAUAAAUACCCUGGUAGUCCCNCCNUAAACNAUGUCNACUACCNUUGGGAUCNUGAAACUNNUGGCNCACCUACNCGAUAAUCACCCCUGGGANUANGCCNCAGNUNAACUCAAUGAUUGACGGGNCCNCCANCGNGGAACANUGNUUAUNCAAACACCNAAANCUNCUGGCUNANUGNNAAANUUCNAAAUGAUGUGCUCGNAUNAAAAGNCUCNGGUNCCCNCCNG